This is a long non-coding RNA of Culex pipiens pallens (northern house mosquito), 439 nucleotides long. RefSeq lists it as uncharacterized. Lineage: Eukaryota; Metazoa; Arthropoda; Insecta; Diptera; Culicidae. The record is from RefSeq and is a predicted model, not a curated record. The transcript has 2 exons.
AUUUUGUUGUCCAAGAAGUGUUCUUUUUUUCUCAGUGUAAAAAAUACGAUCCACAAAGUGCAUGCAGGAACGAGCGGAAAGGGAACGUAUUGGAAAUAUGAUCCAAACUGUUUUGUUGUCAUUAAAUGUUGAUGUGUCAUCAGGGGGUGUCACCUAAAAAUUUAAAUAACUUGCAAGUGCACUAAAAUGUUGCAAGUUCAAACGAAAAAUCCUGGAAUUUGCCAGAACCACGGAGCAGAGUUCAAACAGAGUUUCAGAAAUGCAAAUCCCUGCUGGAUCCGGGAAACACCGUCCGCAGUCACCUUCAGGAAUAUGGUAUCCGGAAGGCCCUGGUGCAAUCCGCACUGAAGAGACGUAACCCAGUGACAAUACGCUGGAGCCAGAGUGAAGACUUCGUCGGCAUCUGGAGUUUUAGAAUCUAUCAGCAAUAUUUCCGGAA